Molecule: ribosomal RNA, 510 nt
Filed under: Enterobacter hormaechei
Lineage: Bacteria; Pseudomonadati; Pseudomonadota; Gammaproteobacteria; Enterobacterales; Enterobacteriaceae
Description: bacterial SSU rRNA
Rfam family: Bacterial small subunit ribosomal RNA
Source: RNAcentral
UAACACAGAGAGCUUGCUCUCGGGUGACGAGCGGCGGACGGGUGAGUAAUGUCUGGGAAACUGCCUGAUGGAGGGGGAUAACUACUGGAAACGGUAGCUAAUACCGCAUAACGUCGCAAGACCAAAGAGGGGGACCUUCGGGCCUCUUGCCAUCAGAUGUGCCCAGAUGGGAUUAGCUAGUAGGUGGGGUAACGGCUCACCUAGGCGACGAUCCCUAGCUGGUCUGAGAGGAUGACCAGCCACACUGGAACUGAGACACGGUCCAGACUCCUACGGGAGGCAGCAGUGGGGAAUAUUGCACAAUGGGCGCAAGCCUGAUGCAGCCAUGCCGCGUGUAUGAAAAAGGCCUUCGGGUUGUAAAGUACUUUCAGCGGGGAGGAAGGUGUUGAGGUUAAUAACCUCAUCAAUUGACGUUACCCGCAGAAGAAGCACCGGCUAACUCCGUGCCAGCAGCCGCGGUAAUACGGAGGGUGCAAGCGUUAAUCGGAAUUACUGGGCGUAAAGCGCACG